This is a long non-coding RNA of Pristis pectinata (smalltooth sawfish), 388 nucleotides long. RefSeq lists it as uncharacterized. The transcript has 3 exons. The record is from RefSeq and is a predicted model, not a curated record. NCBI's taxonomy places the organism in Eukaryota, Metazoa, Chordata, Chondrichthyes, Rhinopristiformes, Pristidae.
UUAGUAUACUGGGAAGAAGAGAUGCAGCGAAGAGGACAGAAAAAAACUGCAAUCCCACUCAUUAACAGCCUAGCAAUAUCUGUUGAUUUCUGAAGCCUGCUGGUAUUUGUGCUGCAAUGCUUAAGAUUAUUCACAAGCCUGAUCUGCCAUUUGCCUCUGAUGAAAUCGGAAUUAGAAUGUCCAGUAUUUGUUUUGAAGCAACCAAGGAAUGGAAUAAUAUUCCACUGUACAUAGACGCUUCUCUUAAUGGACAAAUCUUCAGAUUUACAUGGAUCUCAAGAACAGAACGAAAAGGAUUUUCUACUGUGUAUAUUCAAUGUGUGAGCCUUCUAAUGCAGUAGGUGAUUUAGCGGAUGGCUGAGAAUCCUGUGACUGACAUUUUAAGUGC